This 497-nucleotide ribosomal RNA is filed under the name uncultured bacterium. RNAcentral describes it as "partial 16S ribosomal RNA". It matches the Rfam family "Bacterial small subunit ribosomal RNA", at positions 28 to 507 of the family's 1533-position model. The record is from RNAcentral.
GAUGAACGCUGGCGGCGUGCCUAAUACAUGCAAGUCGAGCGAACGGACGAGAAGCUUGCUUCUCUGAUGUUAGCGGCGGACGGGUGAGUAACACGUGGAUAACCUACCUAUAAGACUGGGAUAACUUCGGGAAACCGUAGCUAAUACCGGAUAAUAUUUUGAACCGCAUGGUUCAAAAGUGAAAGACGGUCUUGCUGUCACUUAUAGAUGGAUCCGCGCUGCAUUAGCUAGUUGGUAAGGUAACGGCUUACCAAGGCAACGAUGCAUAGCCGACCUGAGAGGGUGAUCGGCCGCACUGGAACUGAGACACGGUCCAGACUCCUACGGGAGGCAGCAGUAGGGAAUCUUCCGCAAUGGGCGAAAGCCUGACGGAGCAACGCCGCGUGAGUGAUGAAGGUCUUCGGAUCGUAAAACUCUGUUAUUAGGGAAGAACAUAUGUGUAAGUAACUGUGCACAUCUUGACGGUACCUAAUCAGAAAGCCACGGCUAACUACGUG